CCUCCGGAUGUCUGGAGUUUUGAUCUCCUCCAUACCUGCUUCACACCCUGGAGGACGGGGCUGUGGCCCCCCCACACUCCCUAGCAGAUCGUUACAUGGAGAAACCUUUGGAAUACAAGCGCGCUGAUCCAUACAGAGCAGCGCGGCAGUUUGUGCUCACAGAUGGUGACGGUGUGGAGAGACGGUGGUGUUUCCUCAGAAGAACCAGCAGAGUCACUUGCUGACUGAUGUUCGUCUGCACUGCACAGAGGAAAUCAACUGACCGAGGAGUGUUUCUGAGUGAGGGGGAGAGGAGUCAUCAUCCAGGUAAAGUGACGUGGAUCAGUGGAUACACUUGUCUCCCCUUUAAAGGAGACAAUCCAAGUCAUCCUUAAAUAUGGGCAGCAUAUCAGUCUUGGACUGUCUAACCUGCCGGAGCAGCACUGAAUGACCACCACACAUGAGCAUGUUCCUGCAACAUUCAGCAUCUGAUCCUUCAUCUGUGUGCUUCUGCUUUUGUGUCACAUGUCAAACAGCUGGAGAGGAAACUACACCAGUGUACUGAGAUGUUUCACCAACACGUGCCAGAUGCUGUUCCUUCAUGGUGACAUCACCAGAGACAGCCCCACCCACCUCAGGACCUCGCCAUUGAUCAUGAUGAUUAUAAUGAUGACAGCGAGCGGAACUAAGACUGUAAAAAUCCACGACCAGAAUGUUUCUUUCUAAUUAUUAAUGAAUACUGAGAGCCU
Astatotilapia calliptera (eastern happy) is the source of this 728-nucleotide long non-coding RNA. Lineage: Eukaryota; Metazoa; Chordata; Actinopteri; Cichliformes; Cichlidae. The record is from Ensembl.